AACGAACGCUGGCGGCAGGCCUAACACAUGCAAGUCGAGCGGACCUUUCGGGGUCAGCGGCGGACGGGUGAGUAACGCGUGGGAAUAUGCCCUUCACUACGGAAUAGUCCUGGGAAACUGGGGGUAAUACCGUAUACGCCCUUUGGGGGAAAGAUUUAUCGGGGAAGGAUUAGCCCGCGUUGGAUUAGGUAGUUGGUGGGGUAAUGGCCUACCAAGCCGACGAUCCAUAGCUGGUUUGAGAGGAUGAUCAGCCACACUGGGACUGAGACACGGCCCAGACUCCUACGGGAGGCAGCAGUGGGGAAUCUUAGACAAUGGGGGCAACCCUGAUCUAGCCAUGCCGCGUGAGUGAUGAAGGCCUUAGGGUUGUAAAGCUCUUUCAGCUGGGAAGAUAAUGACGGUACCAGCAGAAGAAGCCCCGGCUAACUCCGUG
RNAcentral lists this ribosomal RNA (433 nucleotides) under uncultured bacterium. RNAcentral's name for it is "partial 16S ribosomal RNA". It matches the Rfam family "Bacterial small subunit ribosomal RNA", at positions 29 to 507 of the family's 1533-position model. The record is from RNAcentral.